ACCGAAUAUACUUGUCAAUCAAAUUUAACUACUACUAUCAUCAUAAGUCAUAUCCAAAUCAUUUUAACUAAGAGUGACAUAUCCACAUGAUUCAUACCAUAUGUGUAUCAUGUCUGACUCUUUCAAACCACGUCCAAAUCAUCAAGCAACUUCAAUCACAUAUCACAUAUACUUCUAUCUAUGAAUAACUUUAGUCGAACCAUUUGCUUGCACAUCCUACGCCGUCAACCAUUUUUAAAACAUAUAGUACCUAACACAAAUAUUAUACAUUCAUAGCACAUAACCUCAAGACUAAAAUGAACAUAAACCAUACUUAG
Molecule: long non-coding RNA, 317 nt
Filed under: Gossypium barbadense (sea-island cotton)
Lineage: Eukaryota; Viridiplantae; Streptophyta; Magnoliopsida; Malvales; Malvaceae
Description: long non-coding RNA (GBAR_LNC001587)
Source: RNAcentral